GGGGGUGUAAUGGUUUCGACUGGCGACUGAUCAUGCCAGUGGUUGCAAGCGGAGCGCCAACUCCUAAAACUAGCAAAAAACAAAACUGCCAAAAAAGAAGAAGAUUUUUCUUCCGACGCAGAUUUCGCCCUUGCUGCUUAGUUAGCUAAGGACGAACGGGCCUCAAGGGUGCCGCUCUUAACUCUUGAACGUCUGUUAUAAAUAGGGGCUAACUUCAGUGGAGGCCGGUGCCUCUGGAGGACAUCUUAGCCGGCUUAGGGGCGCCUAGGGGGGCUACCAACCCAAAACGCCCUGAAAUAAAAAGAGUAGCUAAGCUUGUAGACGCCGUUGGGUGGCUCGUUAGGACGGGGGUUCGACUCCCCCCACCUCCAUUA
Molecule: transfer-messenger RNA, 374 nt
Filed under: Spirochaetales bacterium
Lineage: Bacteria; Pseudomonadati; Spirochaetota; Spirochaetia; Spirochaetales
Rfam family: transfer-messenger RNA
About the family: Bacterial tmRNA, also known as 10Sa RNA or SsrA, is named for its dual tRNA and mRNA-like properties. Its role is to liberate the mRNA from a stalled ribosome.
Source: RNAcentral